This 253-nucleotide ribosomal RNA is filed under the name uncultured bacterium. RNAcentral describes it as "partial 16S ribosomal RNA". It matches the Rfam family "Bacterial small subunit ribosomal RNA", at positions 524 to 776 of the family's 1533-position model. The record is from RNAcentral.
UACGGGGGGGGCAAGCGUUGUUCGGAAUUACUGGGCGUAAAGGGCUCGUAGGCGGCCAACUAAGUCAUACGUGAAAUCCCUCGGCUUAACCGGGGAACUGCGUCUGAUACUGGAUGGCUUGAGUUCGGGAGAGGGAUGCGGAAUUCCAGGUGUAGCGGUGAAAUGCGUAGAUAUCUGGAGGAACACCGGUGGCGAAGGCGGCAUCCUGGACCGAUACUGACGCUGAGAAGCGAAAGCCAGGGGAGCAAACGGG